Long non-coding RNA from Eptesicus fuscus (big brown bat), 275 nucleotides. RefSeq lists it as uncharacterized. The record is from RefSeq and is a predicted model, not a curated record. Lineage: Eukaryota; Metazoa; Chordata; Mammalia; Chiroptera; Vespertilionidae. The transcript is spliced from 3 exons.
GAAGCACAGCCUGAGCUACUGGAGAAGGUACUCAGAGCCAACCAGCAGAAAGAGAAGGCCGAGCCCAGGAACCUGGCAGAGAACUGUCGUCCUCCCAGCUUUCCUCUCACGUGGACCUGAGGUCAUUUUACAGCUGGAAACAAAGUCCAUCACAGGGUCCCUGGACCCUUGGGAAUGGAGGCUGCCACUCAUGAAGUGUUCAAGUUUGUUUGUAUCACCUAAAAUGUCUCUUCAAUGAUUUUUCUUAAACAAUACUACUGAAUGGAUGAAUAUGC